GUGACUCUGUUGGGACAAAGUGGGCUCUACCUGUUGAUCACACUCCGACGAUCAAGUCAGCGAGAGCAUACAAAAUAAGGUAAGAUUUAGUUUCAGUCUAGUAUUCAGAAACAACGUACCUCCUUUACUGAGGGUCUCAAGCCCUUUUUAUAACAUAACUAUCUCUUUAACGACUUUCUCUUAAUAGACUAUAAUCUCAACUGAAAGCAUAACAAAAAUAAUAUUCUGCCUACGACACCUUUACUCACGAUGUUAACUUGCAAAAGAGAAUCUCGUGUGCCCUUAUUAUUGGGUGCUCACCAUUUAACUAAUAUCGCCAUAUAUAAUUAACAACUUUAUGCACAUAUUUAUUUAACUAACAACUUUAUGUAUAUUCACAUAUAUUAUAUUCUAACAACUUAAUGUAUAUAUCUACAUAUAUAUUUAACUAAUAAUCUUAUCAACAUAUGAUCAACUUGUUAUUUUCUCUAUUUAAAUCAUCCUCCAUCAGGCUUACUAAUGAAAUUGGGCCGGACUCACGACCUACCCUUUGGGCCUAAAAAUCGAGCUGACCACACCCACGCCCAUGAACCGAGGUCCCGACACACGAGCACUCUGUCCAGUACAACUAUUAAUACAAGUUAAUUGAUUAAUCAAUUUUUAAAUAAAAGCCUCUUUAUCUUUCGUGUGAAGCUUGACUAGUUUAGGUGCCUUUUAGUCUAAAUACAACAUACCUGGCUUGGACUCUUUUUGUUGUAUAAGAGUUUAACACCUUUUUGUGCCAGUUAUUUAUUGAGUCUUCAUUGCUCAGAAACAAGAAAAAGGUUGCCUAUAUCUAGCCGAUUAAAAGAGUUUCUGAUUAAAGAUUUGGGUUUUUUUUUUAUGUAAUCAAUAAAUGAAAACAAUAACAAAAAUAAAAGCUUUAAAAUUGAAAUUGAAAUGUAAAGGGUAGUGUAGAGCAAUGCUGCAAUAUAUUGGUGUAUGGAAUAGUUGUAUUUAAGUGGAUUUGAUAAUUACGUAAUAUUUAAUCAUUCUUGUUAUAUGAAAGUCGAUGUUGUUAUAUGACUUUAGGGUAUUAUUUCUAUUGCAUAAGGAAGUGUGUCAUUCACAUGGUUUUUUUAGGAACUGAUCAAGUAAGUAUACCCAUUGGGUCCAUGUAUCUCCACACCAUCAAAGCCUUGAAUAAAUAAUCAGUUUAAUAAUAUUUAUUAACUUUGUCUCGUUCUCCCAUUCAUUAAUAUGAACUUUUUAGUAACACUAUCUUUUGGUCCUUUAUCACACCAUGGAGAUGCCACUAUGAUGAGAAUGUAUGUAAACUACUGCCUAACUUUCUUACCUAUAGAGACAUAUUUUUAUUUUCUCUUAAGUAAAAUAUAUGUAAUUUAUUCUAUAUUCUGAAUAGUUUAAUUAGUAUGUUGUUGUUAGUGUAUUUUUUUUUUUUUGAAAAAAAGCAGCAUCCGAUUGGAACUCUUCUUGCUAAUACAGGAAUUCAUAUUGGAUGACUUCAUAAAAAUUAAAUUAUGAGUUUCAUAUAUUCAUGUGAGUGUAGCUAUCUAUUUUGUGUAGGCUACCUUUAGAUUUCUUUCCAAUUCUUGGUGUUUUUAUUGAUGAAACUAAGAAAGAGCCUUAACUAGGGGAAACAAAUAAAAGUAAGAGUGCUUAACAAAAUUAGAAUUGAUUUACUACUGACAUCUUAGUGACCUUUGUAGAAAUCAUCUUUCCACAUGUUCAACUAUAUUUUAUCUCAAUCUUUGUACGUCUGAUUGAUUUAUAGGUACACUAUAGAGUAAAUAUAAGUAAUGUAUUGUUUCCUUGUGAAGGUGAAGAUAGUGUGAAGUGGAGCUUUAACUACUGAAAGAUGUCAGUUGUGCGAUAAACAAGCUUAACUCAUUUAUCAUUUUAAAUAUUCAAAGCACAUGUUUACUAUUUUGUUUAUUUAAUGGUUAAAAGUUUUCUGGAAAUAUUUGGAUUCAUUGACCUAGAUUUUUUUAGUAAUCCUUAUUGAUAAAUUUAGUGCAUCAUCUUUAGAAAAGUCUAUUUUAAUAGUGAUUUUACCUUUAAUUAAAUUAUAUUAGUUUUUUAAAUUUGACUCAAUUCAAUUAGUGCAUAAUUAUAUUUAAUUAUUGCAAUAAUUGAGUUAGUAUGAUAUAUGGUAGGUAUUGUAAGUCUACUCUACCAUUCUGAUUCAUUUAUUUGUUCCCAUCUUCUCUCACCAACACACAUACUAGCCAUUCUUUAAAAAUUUACUUGCUAGCUCCAAGUCAAGUUCUGUAACUUGUGAUUAACUCAUUAAAUUGGAAGAUGACAAGUAUUUAUUUUCUUUCAUUCUUAUUAUUGUUCAAACUUAUUAAUUAGUUUUUAGACACUUACAAUAUAUGAUGAUUUUUUGUCUAUUAGAUUAAAGAUGAUGGACAAAGAGUGGACUAAAUUUUCAAGAUUUAGUAAAGAGUAUAUUAAUGGUGUUGAGUUAUUUUUAGAUUUUUCAUACACUAGUGGAAGACUUCAAGGGAAUGAGAUUUUAUGCCCUUGUUCUAAGUGUAGAAAUCAUUGUUGGGCAAAAAGAUAUGUGGUCUAUGAUCAUUUAAUAGUUAUAGGCUUUGUAAAAGGAUAUAACAUUUGGGUAAACCAUGGGGAGGAAAUAUCAUCGUUGCCUAUUGUAAAUUCAACAGUUUAUAAGGAGUGAGAGAGAGAGAGAUUACACAGCCAAUAUAUAUUGGUUCACUCAACCUUGAGCUACAUCCAGUUUUCGAAACAACCAUUGGGUUCCACUAGUAACCAAUCACAAAUUACAAUCCACACAACCACAAAGAGGUGAUCUUGAUACCACAAGAACCACUCAACCUCUUUGCCAAACACACAACCUUAGUCAAAACACCCUCUGACUUUACAGGCUUUCACACACUUCACAACUUUAUAAAAGAACAAAUAAAAUAAUCAUAAAAGGAACAAAUUACACCUGGAUUUACACGAAUCACAGAGCUCCUAUGAUUAGACCUUGAACCAAUGCAUAACUACUUAGCAAUCUUGCAAACCUUUGAAAUUUUUUUCUCAAAAUCAAUCUCAAUCUGACUGUAUUUGAUAUCUUUUUUUUCUGUAUUUUGUUUUGAAAGGAAAGCCAUAUUUAUAGCUUUCAAAACUAGCUAUUCUAGGCAACAAUCAUGAUUCAAAACAGUUUUGAUUCAAUUGCAAAACAGAUUAACAGGGUUUUGAAAAACUGUUAUGAAAUGUGACAAUCAACCGGUUGAAAAGUUGUUUUAACCGGUUGAAUUAGUUAGACAAUUAUUUAAUUAAGUCAAAAACAGUUUUGAAAACCUUCAAUCAAGCUAAGUGACAAACAACCGACUAUAUCAUGGUUUCAACCGAUUGUUUUUCUCUUUGCUUAGAAAAACACUUUUCCCUUUUAAAAAGAUUGAACUAGCUUUGUGCAAAGGACUAGGAAUGAUCUUUUACAAGAUUUCUAAAUACCCUAGACUAAGCUCAAUCCAAAAGCAGCACAACAUCAACAAAAAACCUCCAACAUAGAUUUGAAUCAUUAAAGCUUCCAUGUUCCACAAUCACCCCCUAUUUGAUGGAGACAAAUCCUUGGGAUGCUUUUUGGAAUGUUCUGUUUAGAAUCUUGCUUAACCUACAUUCAUAAGCAAACAGAAAAAAACAGGGUAAUCUAUUCCAAUCAAACAGGCACCACACAUUAGUUUCCACUAGGUGAUUUCCAACGAGGAACAUUAGCCAAAUCAAUGUGAGAAACCAGUCAAACAUACAUAGGUGCAACACAGAAAAAUAAUCGGUUAUUUCGCAGGAAUAACUGGUUAAAAUUUGUAUAAGAGUUUGUAUCAGAUCAGAGUUUAAAAAACCAGUUAAAGCAAUGUUCAAACAAGUAUGCAAAACAAAAGCAAAUGAAAGUAUUGAGAACAUUUCAACCCAAAGCUUACCAAAGCUCACUUCUCCCCCUAUUUGUCUUCACAAAUAGACAAAAAGAAGGAUUAAGAAAACAACAUAGAUUUAAGAUAAAACUUGUAAAUCAAUUAUUCCCAAUUCAUUCCUUAAUGAAUAAAACCUGUCUUUUUGGAUAAGGGUUUUGUGAAAAUGUCUGCAAGCUGGCUUUCAGUGGCAACGAUUUGAAUCUCACAAUCUCUAUUAUUGACAUGGUCACGAAUGAAGUGAUGUCUAAUCUCAAUAUGCUUGGUUAUGGAGUGCAAAACCUAAUUCUUUGUGAGAUUUAUGGCACUUGUGUUGUCACACAAUAAAGGGACCUUGCUUAUUUUCAACCCAAAGUCUUCAAUUUGUUGCUUUAUCCAUAAGAUUUGUGCACAACAACUCCCUGUAGCUAUAUACCCAGCUUCAACUGUUGAUAAUGCUACACAUGCUUGCUUUUUGCUGUGCCAUGAUAUAAGGCUUGAUCCAAGUAAAUGGCAUGUCCCACUUGUGUUGUUUCUAUCUAAUUUACAACUUGCAAAAUUAGAGUCAGAGUAUGAUGGAAGAGUGCCUUCAUUCCGAUUGGAUUUCAUGGUGGAGAGGUGCGGAAGCUUCACAAAUUGGAGCGGACAAGGAGCUCACUUAGAGCUUGUGGAUUCCUUGAAGGUGAAGGAUAGGUAUGGAGAGUGAUAGGUGAGGCCUAAUCACUUGGUCUAGUGGAAAAGUUGAAGAUCAAACGUCUAUCCUAGGGAGGGUAGGAGACAAGAGUGUAAUUGGCACAAAUUUGGUAGCAAUUCACUCAUUUGAUUAAUCUUACAUAAUGAGAGCCAAGAACCUCAAUUUAUAGGAGAGAGGGCUGAACAUUUUGGAGCCAAAAGUUUAAAAUUCAAAAAUAAAACUCUCCAAUGAGAAUGUGCCAUGUGGAGUCAUGCUUUCAAUGUUUAGCUCACACCUUCCAUGCGAAAUCCUCUCCACUCCUAUGUUGCCAUGUGUACGACCAUGUGCUCCAUGCCAAGGUAUUUUCGUUUUCCAAUAUGUCCUAGACGUUUUAGGGUUACAUUGGGCUCAAAGAAGCCCAAUUGUUACCUUAACUAGUCACUUUUAACCCUAACUAGUCAAAUUUUACUAUUGGCCCAAAUACAAGCCCAAAAACCUAUACUACUUUGCCCAAUAUUUGGUCCAUUUAUUUUAUGCUACUAGGCCCAAUACAUGGCCCAUUAAAUCCUAAACAACUUUAUACAAUUUAUUUAAGCUAAAGCUUGGCCCAAAAAUAAUGUUGACUAGUCAGCAGAAACUCAGUCUUCUUGUGUUCUUCUGACCAAAGCUCUAGUUUAUGUUUUGAUGACUUUGAGGGCUUCUUAGAUAUGUUUGUACAUUCCUUCAGCCUAGAGUUGUCCUCUUGAUUGGGCCUACAAAAAUAAACAAAAGCCCAAUUUAGACCCAUAUUUGCAAUUAAAUCAAUAAACAACCUCUAGGUUUUCAUCCUUAUUGUAUGGUUGUGUGAGGUUGGACGGUUUCCAUUAGAGUAUCCUACUAAAUGAAUAGGAGAGUGUGAAGGAUAUCAUAAACACAUAGAUGUUGUGCCUUUAAGAUACUUUAGGAUUCUUUUGGCAACUUUAAGAUGAGAUUCACUUGGACUAGAUUGGAACCUUGCACAAAGGCAAACAUCAAACAUAAUAUCAAGUCUACUUGCACUAAGAUAUAGUAAAGAACCUAUCAACCCCCUGUAUUUAGUUUGGUCAACUGUUGUUCCAGCUUCAUCAACACUUAAGUAAUAGUCUGUAGACAUAGGUGUUGUUGCUGCUUUACAACUCUCCAUCUCAAACUUUUUGAGUAUGUAAUUGCAAUACUUGGAUUGACACAAGAAGAUGCCUUCUUUGGAUUGCUUGAUUUUCAACCCAAGAAAGAAAGAGAGCUCCCCCAUAAUUGACAUCUCAAAUUCUCCCUACAUAGAUUUUACAAAAUCUUCGCACAAUUUAUCAUUAGAAGAUCCAAAGAUAAUGUCAUCAACAUAUAUUUGGACUAAGAUUACAGUAAAAUCUAUUUUUUUUUUAAUGAAAAGGGUUUUAUCAAUCUUCCCUCUUUCAUAUUGAUGAGAUAUAAGAAAACAAGUUAACCUUUCAUACCAUUUCCUUGGUGCUUGCCAAAGAUCAUACAAGGCUUUGUUCAACUUGUAUACAUGAUUACGAUAUUUGUGAUCUUAAAAUCCAGGUGACUGUGAAACUUAAAUUUCUUCAUUCACAAUUCCAUUUAGGAAAGCGCUCUUCACGUCCAUCUGAAAUAACUUGAACUCAUUCAUGCAAGCAAAGGCCAAUAAGAGUCUUACAGCUUUUAACUUGCUAUUGGUGUAAAAGCCUCAUCAUAAUCAAUCUCUUCUUCUUGGUUGUACCCCUUAGCAACAAGCCUUGCUUUGUUCCUUGUGAUGACACCUGAAUCAUAUGACUUGUUCCUAAAAACCCAUUUUGUUCCUAUUACAUUCAUUUGAGCUGUUAUAGGAACCAGGACCCAUACAUCAUUUCUCACAAACUAGUUGAGCUCCUCAUGCAUAGCAGCAGUCUAGUGCUCAUCCUUGAGUGCAUCAUUGAUUGACUUUGGUUCAAUCUUGGAGACAAAUGUUGUAUGAUUGCAGAAGUUUGCCACACUCAUUGUAGAAACACCUUUGUUGAUAUGCCCAAUGAUGUUUUCAACAGAGAGAUCUCUGGGGAUCCUCCACUGUUUUGGAAGAUCAUACUGCUGCAGAUUUUCAAUCGGUUGUUUUGCAGAAUCAACCGGUUGAAUUUCUGUGCAGUUUUCCAGAUUCUUCAUGAAGAUAUUAUGCUCAUAUUCUUUUGUACUGAUCUUUGCUGAACCUUGCUCAGAUUUGUUAGUUUCAUCAAAAUCAACAUGCAUAAAUUCUUCAACAAUCAUAAGUUUCUUACUGUAAACCCUAUAUUCAUGGCUAGAUAGGGAGUAUCCAAGAAAAAUACCUUUGUCAGCUUUAGCAUCAAACUUACCCAAAUUUUCUUGACCAUUAUUUAGGAUGUAGCCUUUGCAUCCAAAAACCUUUAGCUGUUCUAUGUGAGGCUUCCUUCCAUUUAGCAGCUCAUAUGAGGUCUUUUUCAUGAUUGGUCUGAUAAGAAAACGAUUCAUCACAUAACAUGCUAUACUUACUGCAUCAGCCCAGAAGCGCUUAGGUAAGGAUGAUUCAUUCAAAAUUGUCCUUGCUAGUUCCUCAAGUGAUAUGUUCUUUCUCUCCACCACUCCAUUUUGUUGAGGUGUUCUUGGUGCAAAGAAGUUGGAAGAUACCUAGCUUGUUGCAAAAGUUGCUGAAUUUCUCAUUUUGAAAUUCUCCACCAUGGUCACUCCUAAUUGCACCAAUGUUGCUACAACAGGUGUUUUGCAACCUUUUUGCUAACUUCUUGAAUUCAGGAUAGGCCUCCUUCCUUGAGUGUAGGAAUAUGGCCCACGUAAACAUGGAAAAAUCAUCUACAACCACAAGAGCAUACAAAUUUCCUCCAAGGCUCAUAGUUAUAGAAGGACCAAAAAGGUCCAUGUGUAGUAGUUCAAGAGGUUUUGAGGUGGAAACAAAGUUUUUCAGUUUAAAAGAUUUUCUUGUUUGUUUCCCCUUUUGGCAAGCCUCACACACAUGUUCCUUCUCAAACCUAAGUUUGGGUAAGCCAAUUACAAGGUCAUUUGAAAUCAAUUUAUUCAAAUGAUGCAUAUGUAUGUGUGCAAUUCUUCUAUGACAAAGCCAUGAUUCCUCAUGCUUUGUUAAAAUACAACCGAUUGAUGUAGAGUUAGAGAUAUCAAGCAAAUAGACAUUAUUUGGUCUCUUACCAACCAACAGAACUUCCUUUGGGUUUGGCAACCAAAUCUCACAAGAAUUAGUUCUGAAAGUGACUUGUUAGCUGAUAAGUGCCUAAUUUUAGUAAUAUUUCAUAUUAAAAUAUAGACAAUUAUGAGGAUUUCUUGCUAAUUUACAUAUAAAAUAAUAUCUAAUUUAUGAAUUUAUACAUUUUUAUAUUUUUUAUGAGUUUUAUUUGAAUAAGAGCAUUUUAUUCCCAAAUUUGGUUUUAAUUACAGAUUUCUAGGGAGGAUUGAAGAUUUGAAGCAAAGGAGAAUAAUUUGAGCUAAAAAGAAAAAGAUAGAAGGUCCCAGAAUGGAAAAAGAUGCAAAGAAAGAUAGGGCCUUUUUUAUGUUAUAUAUUUUUUAUGAGUUUUAUU
This 8093-nucleotide long non-coding RNA is filed under the name Phaseolus vulgaris (common bean). RNAcentral's name for it is "long non-coding RNA (PVUL_LNC002117)". Lineage: Eukaryota; Viridiplantae; Streptophyta; Magnoliopsida; Fabales; Fabaceae. The record is from RNAcentral.